AUUGAACGCUGGCGGCAGGCCUAACACAUGCAAGUCGAACGGUAACAGAAAGCAGCUUGCUGCUUUGCUGACGAGUGGCGGACGGGUGAGUAAUGUCUGGGAAACUGCCUGAUGGAGGGGGAUAACUACUGGAAACGGUAGCUAAUACCGCAUAACGUCGCAAGACCAAAGAGGGGGACCUUCGGGCCUCUUGCCAUCGGAUGUGCCCAGAUGGGAUUAGCUAGUAGGUGGGGUAACGGCUCACCUAGGCGACGAUCCCUAGCUGGUCUGAGAGGAUGACCAGCCGCACUGGAACUGAGACACGGUCCAGGCUCCUACGGGAGGCAGCAGUGGGGAAUAUUGCACAAUGGGCGCAAGCCUGAUGCAGCCAUGCCGCGUGUAUGAAGAAGGCCUUCGGGUUGUAAAGUACUUUCAGCGGGGAGGAAGGGAGUAAAGUUAAUACCUUUGCUCAUUGACGUUACCCGCAGAAGAAGCACCGGCUAACUCCGUG
Molecule: ribosomal RNA, 490 nt
Filed under: uncultured bacterium
Lineage: Bacteria
Description: partial 16S ribosomal RNA
Rfam family: Bacterial small subunit ribosomal RNA
Source: RNAcentral